AGAGGUAGUGGUAGAGGUUCUUUUGUUAACACAGAGCAGCAGGUUGCUCGACCACAAUCUAGUCAGAGUUUAGUAGCAUAGCCAGUGGGUAGUUCCUUUGGGGCACCGACACAUGGGCAAGGAUAUAAUUCUGGGUUUGAGCAAAGGAAGAGACAUUUUCCUCAAUGUGCCACCUGUGGUAAAUAUCAUGAUGGGGAGUGUAGAAAAUUCGAUAGGGGUUGUUUUGAAUGUGGCUCUUCGGGGCAUUUUAAGAAAGAUUGUCCAUUGCUGAUAGCCAGAGACAGUGGUUCUUAGCAAGGGUCAGUGGCACCUCAGAAUCUAAAGUAUGGUAUGACACCAUCACAGGGAGUACCUACGGCACAAGUUGGACCAAGCACAAGCAGAGCCAGUGGAGCUACUUCAUCUUCUCAGCCUAGACCAAUGAUGCAACCUGGCAGACCUCGCACUCAAGCCAGAGUUUUUGCUAUGACACAGCAGGAGGCACGAGCAUCUUCAGAGGUGGUGACUGGUAUGUUAACUAUUUUUAAUAAAGAUGCGUACAUUCUUAUAGAUCCUAGUUCUACUCACUCUUUCAUAUCUCAAUCAUUCUCUAAGCAUGCUGAUAGAGAAUUAAAACCCUUAGACUGCGGAUUAGCUGUGAGUACUCCAGUUGGGGAUUCUGUUGUAUGUGAAUAUGUGUAUAGGGAUUAUGUUGUUAAGUUGGGCAAUCAUGAGCUGUUAGUGGAUCUAAUUCCUUUGUGUCUACAAGAUCUGGAUGUCAUCCUAGGUAUGGAUUGGUUAUCCCAUCAUCAUGCCACAAUAGAUUGCUUUGAGAAAUCAGUGGUAUUUAAUACUCCAAAAGGGUCCAAGUUCACUUUCUUUGGGGAGAGGCGUUUAUUUCCUUCUUAUGUGAUUUCCACCAUGACCACUAGGAAGAUGCUUCGGAAGGGUUGUCAAGCAUAUUUAGCCUAUGUGGUGGACAAUAACCUAGAAGGACCUAAAUUGGAGGAUAUACCAGUAGUAAACGAGUUUCCUGAUGUAUUUCCUGAAGAACUUCCAGGGUUGCCUCUAGAUAGAGAGAUUGAAUUCUCUAUUGAUUUAAAUCCAGGUACAACUCCUAUUUCUAUGGCACCAUACAAAAUGGCCCCAGCAGAAUUGAAGGAGUUAAAAGCACAAUUGCAGGAGCUACUUGAUAAAGGUUUCAUAAGACCCAGUGUUUCACCUUGGGGAGCCCCUGUGCUAUUUGUGAAGAAGAAGGAUGGUUCCUUAAGAUUGUGUAUUGACUACAGACAAUUGAAUCGAGUUACUGUGCGAAAUAAGUAUCCUUUACCCCGCAUUGAUGAUCUUUUUGAUCAACUCCAAGGUGCUAAAGUAUUCUCUAAGAUUGAUUUGCGAUCUGGGUAUCAUCAAUUGAAGAUCAAGGAGUCUGAAAUACCUAAGACAGCCUUCAGAACUCGUUACGGGCAUUAUGAGUUCCUCGUUAUGCCUUUUGGGUUAACUAAUGCACCCACUGCUUUUAUGGAUCUCAGGAAUAGGGUGUUUAAGCCCUACUUGGACAGUUUUGUUAUUGUGUUUAUUGAUGACAUCUUAGUAUAUUCUCGUAGCAAGGAAGAGCAUGAGAUGCAUUUACGGAUAGUACUGCAAAUUUUGAGGAAUAAGCAACUAUAUGCUAAAUUGAGCAAAUAUGCGUUCUGGCUUGAUCGGGUGGUUUUCUUGGGACAUGUUAUCUCAGCAGAUAGAGUUUUGGUUGAUCCUAAGAAGAUUGAAGCAGUAGUCAAUUGGGACCCUCCAACUAAUGUUACAGAGGUUAGAAGUUUUCUGGGCUUAGCAGGGUAUUAUCGUCGCUUUGUUCAGGAUUUCUCCAUCAUUGCAGCACCAUUGACUAAACUCCUUCGAAAGAAUGCAAAGUUUGAAUGGACAGAUGAAUGUCAAGAGAGUUUCGAGAAGCUUAAAACAUGUCUCACAUCAGCCCUAGUUCUUACCCUACCCUCAGGUACAGAUGGAUUUGUGGUGUAUAGUGAUGCUUCUCACAAGGGUUUAGGCUGUGUACUCAUGCAACAUGGGAAGGUGAUAGCUUAUGCUUCUAGACAGCUUAGACCACAUGAAUUAAAUUAUCCCACCCAUGAUCUGGAAUUGGCUGCAGUUGUAUUUGCAUUAAAGACAUGGAGGCAUUAUCUUUAUGGCAUGACUUGCCAGAUUUUUACAGACCACAAGAGUUUGAAGUAUCUUCUCACACAGAAGGAGUUGAAUUUAAGGCAGAGACGGUGGAUUGAGUUACUUAAGGACUACGACUGUACUAUUGAAUAUCAUCCAGGUAAAGCUAAUGUGGUAGCUGAUGCCCUUAGUCGCAAGUCCUUUAGUAAUUUGGCUUAUCUCAAAACAGUUCGACUUCCUUUGUUACUAGAGAUCAAAUCCUUAAGGGUAGAACUAGCAGUGGAUGAUGCAGGAGCAUUGUUAGCAAAUCUCAAAGUUCGACCAGUGUUGAUAGAAAAAGUCAAGGAAGCCCAAAAUCAAGAUGAGCAGUUUAGUAAGAUCAGUAAUGAAGUAAGAGAUGGCACCCGUACCGACUUUUCUCUAAGGGAGGAUGGAACGUUAAUGUUUGGUGAUAGACUAUGUGUACCUAGAGUGGAAAGCUUGAAGAGAGAGAUUAUGGAGGAAGCCCAUUGUUUUGCUUACUCUAUGCAUCCAGGCAGUACAAAAAUGUAUAGAGAUUUUAAAGAAAACUAUUGGUGGCCAGGCAUGAAGAAAGAAAUAGCUGACUUUGUGUCCACAUGCUUAGUUUGCCAACAGAUUAAAGCAGAACAUCAACAUCCAACAGGAAAGCUACAACCGCUCCCUAUUCUGGAAUGGAAGUGGGAACACAUUACUAUGGAUUUUGUUUCAGGGUUACCUCGUACUUCGCGUGGACAUAAUGCAGUAUGAGUGAUAGUUGAUAGAUUAACCAAGUCAGCACACUUUUUGCCUGUCAGGAUGGAUUAUUCUUUAGACAAGUUAGCAGAGAUCUAUGUCAGUGAGAUUGUAAGACUUCAUGGUGCUCCAGUUUCUAUUGUUUUAGAUAGAGAUCCAAGAUUCACUUCUCGUUUUUGGCCUAGCUUGCAAAAUGCUUUAGGCACUAAGUUGAAGUUUAGCACUUCUUUUCACCCUCAAACUGAUGGUCAAUCAGAAAGAACUAUUCAGACCUUAGAGGAUAUGCUGAGAGCUUGUGUGAUGGAGUUUAAAGGAAGUUGGGAUAGGCAUGUGCCUUUAAUGGAGUUCUCUUAUAACAAUAGUUAUCAUUCGAGUAUCGGCAUGGCUCCUUAUGAAGCUUUGUAUGGGAGGAGAUGUAGAACACCAUUGUGUUGGAAUGAGGUAGGGGAAGACAAUUAGAAGGUCCAGAACUAGUACAACACACCACAGAUAAAAUUCAGAUGAUCAGAAGUAGGUUAAAAGCAGCACAAGAUAGACAAAAGAGUUAUGCAGAUCUGAAGAGAAGGGAUAUUGAAUAUAAUGUUGGCGACAAAGUAUUUCUGAAGAUCUCUCCUUGGAAAAGGGUGGUACGUUUUGGCAAACGUGGGAAAUUGAGUCCGCGAUUCAUAGGGCCAUGUGAGAUUUUAGAGAGAAUUGGCCCAGUUGCUUAUCGUUUAGCACUACCACCAGAGCUAUCUCAGAUUCAUGAUGUCUUCCAUGUAUCCAUGUUAAGGAGAUACAGAAGUGAUCCUUCCCACAUUCUCCAGAAAGAGCCUAUCGAGUUGAGGAAAGAUUUAACAUAUGAAGAAGAGCGAGUAGAGAUCAUUACCAGAGAAGAGAAGGUUCUAAGGAGCAAGAUAAUACCCCUGGUUAAAGUUCGAUGGAGUAACCAUUCUGCCAAAGAAGCUACUUGGGAAAAAGGAGAGAAUAUGCGAAUUCAAUUUCCACAUUUAUUUCCUUCACCAGGUAUGUAAAUUUCGAGGAUGAAAUUUCUAUUAGGAGGAGAGAAUUAUCAGGCCUUGGCCCAGCCCACAAAAAAAAAAAAAAAUAGCCCGUAAAAUAAAUAAAGAAAUAAAUAAAUAAAAAAUUAAAACAUUAAAGGCUCUGGUUUCUUCCAGAGCCUUCAUUUGCGUGAAGUAGAGAAAAAAACAAAAAAGAAAGAAAAGCAGCAGAAGCAGGGGCAAGCAGAGCAUUGCUCUGUUAUUUCAAAAAAAAAACAAAAUCAUUCUCUUUAAUCCAAAUCUCUUUCCUCUCAACCCGAUCAACCCACAAACUUCUAAAAUCCUUCAGCUAGAUCCUAAUAUCCUGCUCAGAAAUUCAAUAUUUUCUUCCAGAGGUUCCAAAAUUGGGUAGGUGAGUUUUAUUCCCUUUAUUCGAUUUAUUGCGAUAUAAUUUAUUUUUUCUACUUUUUAAGAAUUAUUUGGUGAAUUGAGAAUCAAAAGGGAUGUAUUUAGGUUAGACCCAAGUAAUGAGAUUUAAUAUUUCUUUUGGGGAUUAAUGAUUUUUUUAUAGGUUAUUAAGUAUUUUUGUUGAGGUUGUUCAUUUUUGGGAGGUCUCGCUAUGGCGAAAUACUGCCGAAAUUUUCUUAAAAAUAUAUACAUAUAAAUAUAUUUAAAAUUUCGUAUUUUACGUUUUAUAUUAUUAUCCUAGUAUAUUUAUUUAUUAUUUGAUAUAUUAUUUUCUUUUUAAUUCUAGGAGAGGAUCCAGCUUUUGGGAUAAGUAAUAGGAGUGCUCCUGCGACCUAGGUUAUUCUAUCCUCAGUACUGGUGAGUGUAUAAAUAUAUAACAUUGAUAUUUUUCUUAAAUAUAUAUAUACUCAUAUAUGUUAUUUUGUUUAUUUAAGUUGGGAAAGGAUAACGAUAAUUUAUAUUUCUUGAAUGAAUGAAAAUUGAAUUUAAAGCACAGCUGAAUAAAUAGCCGAUUACACUCUGUAUAUGCACCGAAUAGAUAACACAUUGAUGACUGGUGAUUUAUUUUCAGUAUAAUAUAUAUUUAUACUGUCUUUGGGACAGUGCUUGAUAUACAGAUAGCCUUUGGGGCGUAUGUCAGGUGGUCACCCUUUGGGGGUAGCUCUGCACAUGUGUAUGACCAGUAUUUUGUUUGCUCUUGGGCCAAAAUUGUCAUCAUAGAGCCUAAGAUGCCAGCAUUGCUCUCAGGCUGUCGUUAUUUUAUCACACCUGAGAUGCCAGCAUUAUCUAUAGGGCACAUAUUAUGAGUGUAUGCAGAUUCUAUUUUUCACAGUUCAUUUUAUAUUAAUUGAAUUAAAUUGUAUUUAUUCAGCUGACUUAUUUUAGCUAAAUAUUUAAUACUAUUAAGUACUUAAACUUUAUCUUUUCCCCUUUGUUAUUUAUUUAUCCGCUCACUGAGUAUUUUGUACUCACCCUUAUACUUUUAAUAUUACAGCUCCUUUUUGGUGAUCCGCUCAGCAAUCCUCAUCUUCUUGUUUGUCCUUCUUCCUCAUCGUCCACUCAGAGUCUAGAGGAGGUCGGACCAAUCCUAGGUCUUUUGUCAUAUCUUUUGUAUAAUUUUAAAAGAUCAUGUAUAGAUUGUACAUUCCAUGAGGAACGUAUUUUGUUUAAUGUAAAUAUAUUAUGAAUUGACUAGAACAACCAUUAGUUUUCUCUUAUAUGUUUAAUAUUUUAAAAACUUAUAGCAGGUUAUAUGUAUUUAAAUGUAUAAAAUCAGGGGAAGUUCUGUCAGUUUUUCGAGUCAUAUCCGCCUCUACAGAUUAGAGAAUAGGUGUGACAAUUUUUAGUAUCAGAGCUUAGGUUAUAGAUUCUGUAGACUUUUCUUGAGUUAGUAUUCUUAAUUGUAUUCUGAUAAUUCUUCUCGUAUUGUCGUUUGUAGGACAAUGCCGCCUAGAGUAGGCAAUAGAAAUCGGGGCCGUGGUGUUCGUACAGCUAGAUUAGCCGAUAUUGGUCGACCUCAUAGGGAUCCUACAGUUACACCUCCACCUCUAGAUAGGAUGGCAGAUCAUGUUUUGCUUGAGAGCAGAGAAGGGCAUGGAGAUUCUGCUUCUCAUGGUGUUGAAUCAAGAACAUAUCCGGCUGCACCUUCAUUUCCUUCAGCACCUGCAGUUGCACCUCCUGUCGCAUCUGCAGCUCCACCUCUUGUUCCACCUGUAGCACCAGUUAAUCCUUUUCAGAUAAAUGCCGACCUGGGUGCUUUUGUGGCACAAGUAGUUACAGCAGCUGUUACAGCCAAACCUAGAGAUUCGUGGGAGAUAGUGGAUCGUGCUAGACAUUUGGGAGCUUAUGAUUUUGAGGGUUCUUCUGAUGCUGACAUUGCAGAUAAAUGGUUAAAGAAAGUGCUAAAAGUGUUUGAAUUAAUGAAGUUGACUGAUGCAGAUAAAGUAGAUAAUGUACAUGGAUUGCUUCAGGGUAAAGCUGAUGGUUGGUUUGAUGGCAUUCAUCGCAGACAUAGAGUCAGACUGACUUGGGAUCAAUUUAUAUAUGAAUUUUGCCAGGAGUAUUUGUCAGAAAGUUACAGGAAGGGGAAACAGGAUGCCUUUCUCAGGUUGUUUCAAGGAAGCCUCUCAAUAAGAGAGUAUGUUGACAAGUUUGAAGAUCUUUAUUGCUUUGUGUCAGAUAUACUACCUUUUGAGGAAGCUAAAUGUGAUAGAUUUAGACAGGGUCUACAUGUCAAUAUCAGAUCAUCUAUGACCUGGUUCAGAGGUAAUAAUUUCAGAGAGUUGGUGGAAGCAGCUUUGAAUGUUGAGAAAGUUAAGCAAGAAGAGAAAGAGUAUGAGCAGAGGAUGAGUAGAAAACAUAUGCAGGAUUCACAGGGGUUCAGAGAAAGACCAGCUAAGAGAUGGAGCAGUUCAUUUCAGUCCCAAGCUGGAUACAGAGGUAGUGGUAGAGGUUCUUUUGUUAACACAGAGCAGCAGGUUGCUCGACCACAAUCUAGUCAGAGUUCAGUAGCAUAGCCAGUGGGUAGUUCCUUUGGGGCACCGACACAUGGGCAAGGAUAUAAUUCUGGGUUUGAGCAAAGGAAGAGACAUUUUCCUCAAUGUGCCACCUGUGGUAAAUAUCAUGCUGGGGAGUGUAGAAAAUUCGAUAGGGGUUGUUUUGAAUGUGGCUCUUCGGGGCAUUUUAAGAAAGAUUGUCCAUUGCUGAUAGCCAGAGACAGUGGUUCUCAGCAAGGGUCAGUGGCACCUCAGAAUCUAAAGUAUGGUAUGACACUAUCACAGGGAGUACCUACGGCACAAGUUGGACCAAGCACAAGCAGAGCCAGUGGAGCUACUUCAUCUUCUCAGCCUAGACCAAUGAUGCAACCUGGCAGACCUCGCACUCAAGCCAGAGUUUUUGCUAUGACACAGCAGGAGGCACGAGCAUCUUCAGAGGUGGUGACUGGUAUGUUAACUAUUUUUAAUAAAGAUGCGUACAUUCUUACAGAUCCUGGUUCUACUCACUCUUUCAUAUCUCAAUCAUUCUCUAAGCAUGCUGAUAGAGAAUUAAAACCCUUAGACUGCGGAUUAGCUGUGAGUACUCCAGUUGGGGAUUCUGUUGUAUGUGAAUAUGUGUAUAGGGAUUGUGUUGUUAAGUUGGGAAAUCAUGAGCUGUUAGUGGAUCUAAUUCCUUUGUGUCUACAAGAUCUGGAUGUCAUCCUAGGUAUGGACUGGUUAUCCCGUCAUCAUGCCACAAUAGAUUGCUUUGAGAAAUCAGUGGUAUUUAAUACUCCAAAAGGGUCCAAGUUCACUUUCUUUGGGGAGAGGCGUUUAUUUCCUUCUUAUGUGAUUUCCGCCAUGACCACUAGGAAGAUGCUUCGGAAGGGUUGUCAAGCAUAUUUAGCCUAUGUGGUGGACAGUAACCUAGAAGGACCUAAAUUGGAGGAUAUACAAAUAGUAAACGAGUUUCCUGAUGUAUUUCCUGAAGAACUUCCUGGGUUGCCUCCAGAUAGAGAGAUUGAAUUCUCUAUAGAUUUAAAUCCAGG
This 7857-nucleotide long non-coding RNA is filed under the name Manihot esculenta (cassava). Its description in RNAcentral is "long non-coding RNA (MESC_LNC012443)". The record is from RNAcentral. Lineage: Eukaryota; Viridiplantae; Streptophyta; Magnoliopsida; Malpighiales; Euphorbiaceae.